Molecule: long non-coding RNA, 468 nt
Organism: Biomphalaria glabrata
Lineage: Eukaryota; Metazoa; Mollusca; Gastropoda; Planorbidae
Exons: 3
Source: RefSeq, a predicted model, not a curated record
ACAGACAUCUGGCAUAUUCCUAUAAUCAGUAUCAUGGCCUUUGUAUACAACAAAAUUGAUUGGAACUCCUAGACUAGAAAUAUAAUUCAAGAUUUAAAUAAGGCACUGGUCAUAGUUUUAAAAAGUGUGGCUAGCAUUCUGAAGGAAGACAGAGAGAUGGAAAGACAUCAAAGAAUGGACAGGUCUGCCAAGAAAUGGUUUAUCCAGGGCUAAGUACAGAGAGGAAUAUAGAAGGGCUGUUGACAGAUCUUGUGUGGUGCCCCCAUGGUUCAACAGACUAAUUGAUUGAAAAUAAUACCAGGGUUAUGCUCCUUUGACCAUUGAGUUCCAGGAUGAAGAAUGAAAGACAGAGAGCAAUGUGAAGACAUGAAAGAAUGGGCAGGUCUGCCAUGAAAUGGUUUAUCCAGGGCUAAGUACAGAGAGGAAUAUAGAAGGGCUGUUGACAGAUCUUGUGUGGUGCCCCCAUGG